CUGCAAGUCGAACGCUCACCUUCGGGUGGGAGUGGCAGACGGGUGAGUAACACGUGGGAACGUACCCUUUGGUUCGGGACAACUCUGGGAAACUGGAGCUAAUACCGGAUACGCCCUUUUGGGGAAAGGUUUACUGCCGAAGGAUCGGCCCGCGUCUGAUUAGCUAGUUGGUGGGGUAACGGCCUACCAAGGCGACGAUCAGUAGCUGGUCUGAGAGGAUGAUCAGCCACACUGGGACUGAGACACGGCCCAGACUCCUACGGGAGGCAGCAGUGGGGAAUAUUGGAUAAUGGGCGCAAGCCUGAUCCAGCCAUGCCGCGUGAGUGAUGAAGGCCUUAGGGUUGUAAAGCUCUUUUAUCCGGGACGAUAAUGACGGUACCGGAGGAAUAAGCCCCGGCUAACUUCGUGCCAGCAGCCGCGGUAAUACGAAGGGGGCUAGCGUUGCUCGGAAUCACUGGGCGUAAAGGGCGCGUAGGCGGCGUUUUAAGUCGGGGGUGAAAGCCUGUGGCUCAACCACAGAAUGGCCUUCGAUACUGGGACGCUUGAGUCUGGUAGAGGUUGGUGGAACUGCGAGUGUAGAGGUGAAAUUCGUAGAUAUUCGCAAGAACACCGGUGGCGA
Molecule: ribosomal RNA, 619 nt
Filed under: uncultured bacterium
Lineage: Bacteria
Description: bacterial SSU rRNA
Rfam family: Bacterial small subunit ribosomal RNA
Source: RNAcentral